This 484-nucleotide ribosomal RNA is filed under the name uncultured bacterium. RNAcentral describes it as "partial 16S ribosomal RNA". It matches the Rfam family "Bacterial small subunit ribosomal RNA", at positions 30 to 507 of the family's 1533-position model. The record is from RNAcentral.
AUUGAACGCUGGCGGCAGGCCUAACACAUGCAAGUCGAGCGGAUGAAGGGAGCUUGCUCCUGGAUUCAGCGGCGGACGGGUGAGUAAUGCCUAGGAAUCUGCCUGGUAGUGGGGGAUAACGUCCGGAAACGGGCGCUAAUACCGCAUACGUCCUGAGGGAGAAAGUGGGGGAUCUUCGGACCUCACGCUAUCAGAUGAGCCUAGGUCGGAUUAGCUAGUUGGUGGGGUAAAGGCCUACCAAGGCGACGAUCCGUAACUGGUCUGAGAGGAUGAUCAGUCAAACCGGGAACGAGGACACGUCCCAGACUCCUAGGGAGGGCGGCGUGGGGAAUAAUUGGACAAUGGGCGAAAGCCUAUCCAGGCCAGGCGGCGGUGUUAAGAAGGUCCUUCGGUUGGUAAGGAACUUUAGGUGGGGAGAAGGGCAGUAAGUUAAUACCUUGCUGUUUUGACGUUACCAACAGAAUAAGCACCGGCUAACUUCGUG